UAUUUGCUCAUUUAGAUUUAUAUUCGCAUCAACAUGUAAGUGAUAAAGACUGUCAAUUAAAAGAUCACAUGCAAUCAAUUUAUUUCAUAAAUAAAUAAAAUAAAAUUUUUAUUAAAAUUAAAAUCAAAACCAUCCUAUGCUAGCAUAGACACGAAAAUCAAAUUCUGACUAGUUAUAGGAACAAAAUAACAGUCUUUUAAAUCUAAUCUAAACCCUGAUAAUAAUCGAAGAGGAUAAGUGCCAAUGGCUUCUGUAGUAACUUUUGCUUCAUUAUUGGCCCAAAGGAUCAUGUCACCUUCCUUCAGUCUUCUACUUUCUAUUAGACCCUGUAUUGAAGUACAUAUAUGAGUACUCGAACCAGAGUCCAAUACCCAACUAGAAGUAGAAGAAACUAUAAGGUUAGAUUCAAUUAUGAGCAUACCUUCUGAAGGUUUGUCACCUUUUUUGAUCUUCAGGCUCUCCACAAGUACUUUCGGUUAAUUUCGUAUCUGGAUCUCUUUUGACCCACGAUACUCACUAUUUGCUCAUUUAGAUUUACAUUCGCAUCAAUAUGUAAGUGAUAAAGACUGUCAAUUAAAAGAUCACAUGCAAUCAAUUUAUUUCAUAAAUAAAUGAAAUAAAAAUUUUUAUUAAAAUUAAAAUCAAAACCAUCCUAUGCUAGCAUAGACAUGAAAAUUAAAUUCUGACUAGUUAUAGGAACAAAAUAAUAAUCUUUUAAAUCUAAUCUAAACCCU
This 734-nucleotide long non-coding RNA is filed under the name Elaeis guineensis (African oil palm). RNAcentral's name for it is "long non-coding RNA (EGUI_LNC038930)". Lineage: Eukaryota; Viridiplantae; Streptophyta; Magnoliopsida; Arecales; Arecaceae. The record is from RNAcentral.